RNAcentral lists this ribosomal RNA (448 nucleotides) under uncultured bacterium. Its description in RNAcentral is "partial 16S ribosomal RNA". It matches the Rfam family "Bacterial small subunit ribosomal RNA", at positions 331 to 793 of the family's 1533-position model. The record is from RNAcentral.
CCAGACUCCUACGGGAGGCAGCAGUGGGGGAUAUUGCACAAUGGGGGGAACCCUGAUGCAGCGACGCCGCGUGAGUGAAGAAGUAUUUCGGUAUGUAAAGCUCUAUCGGCAGGGAAGAAAAAAAUGACAGUACCUGACUAAGAAGCCCCGGCUAACUACGUGCCAGCAGCCGCGGUAAUACGUCUGGAGCAAGCGUUAUCCGGAUUUACUGGGUGUAAAGGGAGCGCAGGCGGCCUUGCAAGUCUGAUGUGAAAGGCCGGGGCCCAACCCCGGGACUGCAUUGGAAACUGCGAGGCUGGAGUGUCGGAGAGGCAGGCGGAAUUCCUAGUGUAGCGGUGAAAUGCGUAGAUAUUAGGAGGAACACCAGUGGCGAAGGCGGCCUGCUGGACGAUGACUGACGCUGAGGCUCGAAAGCGUGGGGAGCAAACAGGAUUAGAUACCCGUGUAC